Molecule: antisense RNA, 69 nt
Filed under: Mycobacterium sp. Root135
Lineage: Bacteria; Bacillati; Actinomycetota; Actinomycetes; Mycobacteriales; Mycobacteriaceae
Description: ASpks TB sRNA
Rfam family: ASpks TB sRNA
Source: Rfam by way of RNAcentral
CUUCACCGAGCCCAGCCACAGCGGCUGCGUGCGGUCCUGGCCGUAGGUGCCCAGCAGCGCCUGCGCCUC